Molecule: ribosomal RNA, 497 nt
Filed under: Dysoxylum gotadhora
Lineage: Eukaryota; Viridiplantae; Streptophyta; Magnoliopsida; Sapindales; Meliaceae
Description: eukaryotic LSU rRNA
Rfam family: 5.8S ribosomal RNA (bases 5-160)
Source: RNAcentral
AAACGACUCUCGGCAACGGAUAUCUCGGCUCUCGCAUCGAUGAAGAACGUAGCGAAAUGCGAUACUUGGUGUGAAUUGCAGAAUCCCGUGAACCAUCGAGUCUUUGAACGCAAGUUGCGCCCCAGGCCGUUAGGCCGAGGGCACGUCUGCCUGGGUGUCACGCAUCGUUGCCCCCCAAACCCCCUCUCAGGGGGAUGGUUGGGAGGGCGAAGAAUGGCCUCCCGUGCGCUCCCCGCUCGCGGUUGGCCGAAAUUCGAGCCUUCGGUGACCGUGCCGCGACGAUCGGUGGUAAACAAGCCUAUCGAGCUCCCGUCGCGCGCUCGCGUACUCGUGUUACGGGCUCGCGGACCCCUCGAGCGACUCCUAUUCAGGGCGCUCCUCGCUUUGCGACCCCAGGUCAGGCGGGACUACCCGCUGAGUUUAAGCAUAUCAAUAAGCGGAGGAAAAGAAACUUACCAGGAUUCCCCUAGUAACGGCGAGCGAACCGGGAAGAGCCC